RNAcentral lists this ribosomal RNA (554 nucleotides) under Xylaria sp. BZT1-5. RNAcentral describes it as "eukaryotic LSU rRNA". The stretch from base 181 to 334 matches the Rfam family "5.8S ribosomal RNA". The record is from RNAcentral. Lineage: Eukaryota; Fungi; Ascomycota; Sordariomycetes; Xylariales; Xylariaceae.
AGAUGGUCGGUUUAACAGAGAUCGCACGUGACCUGGCAUAUCAUAUCGGAGGAUCCGAGGUGAAGUGCCCUCUCAAGACCUAGAGGAACGCUCCUACCCGGAAGGCGCGGGUACCCCUGCCGGUGGCCCACGAAACUCUGUCUCAUCGUUGAAUUCUGAACCUAUAACUAAAUAAGUUAAAACUUUCAACAACGGAUCUCUUGGUUCUGGCAUCGAUGAAGAACGCAGCGAAAUGCGAUAAGUAAUGUGAAUUGCAGAAUUCAGUGAAUCAUCGAAUCUUUGAACGCACAUUGCGCCCAUUAGUAUUCUAGUGGGCAUGCCUGUUCGAGCGUCAUUUCAACCCUUAAGCCCUUGUUGCUUAGCGUUGGGAGCCUACGGCACCGUAGCUCCCCAAAGUCAGUGGCGGAGCCGGCUCACACUCUAGACGUAGUAAUUUCUCACCUCGCCUAUAGUUGGACCGGUCCCCUGCCGUAAAACGCCCCAGUAUUUAAAAGGUUGACCUCGAAUCAGGUAGGAAUACCCGCUGAACUUAAGCAUAUCAAUAAGCGGAGGAA